GCUCAGAGUGAACGCUGGCGGUAGGCCUAACACAUGCAAGUCGAACGGCAGCACAGUAAGAGCUUGCUCUUAUGGGUGGCGAGUGGCGGACGGGUGAGGAAUACAUCGGAAUCUACCUUUUCGUGGGGGAUAACGUAGGGAAACUUACGCUAAUACCGCAUACGACCUUCGGGUGAAAGCAGGGGACCUUCGGGCCUUGCGCGGAUAGAUGAGCCGAUGUCGGAUUAGCUAGUUGGCGGGGUAAAGGCCCACCAAGGCGACGAUCCGUAGCUGGUCUGAGAGGAUGAUCAGCCACACUGGAACUGAGACACGGUCCAGACUCCUACGGGAGGCAGCAGUGGGGAAUAUUGGACAAUGGGCGCAAGCCUGAUCCAGCCAUACCGCGUGGGUGAAGAAGGCCUUCGGGUUGUAAAGCCCUUUUGUUGGGAAAGAAAAGCAGUCGAUUAAUACUCGGUUGUUCUGACGGUACCCAAAGAAUAAGCACCGGCUAACUUCGUGCCAGCAGCCGCGGUAAUACGAAGGGUGCAAGCGUUACUCGGAAUUACUGGGCGUAAAGCGUGCGUAGGUGGUUGUUUAAGUCUGUUGUGAAAGCCCUGGGCUCAACCUGGGAAUUGCAGUGGAUACUGGGCGACUAGAGUGUGGUAGAGGGUAGUGGAAUUCCCGGUGUAGCAGUGAAAUGCGUAGAGAUCGGGAGGAACAUCCAUGGCGAAGGCAGCUACCUGGACCAACACUGAC
RNAcentral lists this ribosomal RNA (735 nucleotides) under Stenotrophomonas rhizophila. RNAcentral's name for it is "bacterial SSU rRNA". It matches the Rfam family "Bacterial small subunit ribosomal RNA", at positions 22 to 744 of the family's 1533-position model. The record is from RNAcentral. Lineage: Bacteria; Pseudomonadati; Pseudomonadota; Gammaproteobacteria; Lysobacterales; Lysobacteraceae.